This 3177-nucleotide long non-coding RNA is filed under the name Ictidomys tridecemlineatus (thirteen-lined ground squirrel). Its description in RNAcentral is "lncRNA (ENSSTOG00000034369.1)". Lineage: Eukaryota; Metazoa; Chordata; Mammalia; Rodentia; Sciuridae. The record is from RNAcentral.
UUAUUUCCAUUUUAUUUAUUGUUGACAUGGCAUAUGAAGAUUUGUUUAGGUGCAUUUAUCAAUGGCUGUCACACCUACAUUCAGGACAAGAUGUUGCCUAUUCCUCCUUCUCUUGCUCUUCUAUCACGAUAAGGUUAUCCUGACGAAUCAAAUUACAACCCAUCUGAGCAGAGCCCUUGCUUCUCAGGCAGACCUGGUGUCUCCAGCUGAUGAUUUGUCCCUGUCUGAAGGCUUUUCUGAAUCCAGCUGUGUAAUUGCCGCCCUAGGAAACACUUGGAGUCACAGUGUGAACACCAGGCUGAUUCUCCGGUCCCUUGAUUCAGAGAGAAGACAGAUUCUCAUUGCCAAAUCCCCUCUGGCUCCCUUCACCUCAUUUAUCUACACCAUCAAGGAGGAAGGCCUGGUUCUUCAAGGCUAACAGGCCAUAGGGAUACUGUGACCUUUGUCUAGAGCUGAUGGGGGUGUGAUUUGUGAAAUGAAACAGGACCAUGCUGCUUGGAAGAAGGAAACGGAAGCCAACAUAAUGGGGAUUAAUUAGUUGAUUGCUGUUGAGAUGGUAACAGAUUUGCUCCUAGACCAUUGAACCAGCGAUUUCAGACCUAGCAGGGAAGGUGAAGAUGAAGAAGCCUUUGUUCAGGUCUCUAGAUGUGUAGGGCUGAGGGCUUUGCCACCAUGGGAUGUCAACAGACAUAAUAAUAAUAAUUUGCACUUAUAUAGCACCUUUCAACCAGGCACCUCAAAGCGGUUUAACCACAUUAAUUAAUUAAAGCCCACAAUCCCCCUGGGGAGAGAAAGAGGAUGACUAACAAGAUUUGUAAUUACAGGAGGGAACAUUUCCGAAUAAAGUAUUGUCCACCAAAUAAAAAGAGUAGGUGUAAAGGAAUCGAGGUCUCCAAAGAGUAACUGAUUCAGAAAUGAAAUCAUGGAAUGAUGGGGGAGGCUGGGGGUGGGCAUGGGCAUGGGGGUCUGUUCUUAUAUUAGAGGGAGGUCAAUGGCCUCAGAAUUCUUUGACAGGUUCAGAUCCAACCGAGAAGCAGAACAUGUGUGGUAUUAGUGGCAUUUGGAAGGUCAUUAGUGGCAUGACUAUUGUAGUGUAAAUUCAAGUUUCACUGGUAUAUUGUGUAUAGCCUUGCAGAACAAAGAGUGAGAUUCAUGCAGUAUUUAAUAAAGGAUGAAAUGAUUUCUUUAGAUUUAAAGCCCAAAGCUGGGCCACUCAAUUAGCAAAUAAAUAAGUUGGUGACCCAUGGGAUAAUUUAGGCAUUUCCAGGAGAAUAAGGGGCCUACCCAUUCCUAUUGCCCUCAGGCUUCUGACCAAAACAUCAGGCUGGGAUCAGUGUAAAGGUCUGGGAGCUUCAGCCCCUUCAAAGUCAGGCAUUAAGUACUCCCAGCCUUUGGCAAGCUCUUACCCAAGACGUUAGUGACCCAACCUGUCCUCUGUACAAUCAUUUUUACCUGCUCCUCUUGGGAAAUUUAAUUGCCUUAGGGGCUAAAAAUCAAGUCAUACCCUAUUUCCUGUCUCCUGUCAACACCCAACAGAGUGCUGUGUACCAAGUCAGCAGUGAGUGAUGAAGAACGGAUCAAAGACCAAGUCUCUUAACAACUUCAUAUUUGUUAAACAGACCAAGUGCUCAGGCAAAGUUUGAAAGCAAUAGGAUAUAUGCCUUGUCCUCAAGAACUGUAUUACAAAAGACCCCCAAACAAUAACUAUAACAUAAAGCAGAAUAAAAUAAAGUGUUAUGAUAGAUGCACGUCCAAGCUCCAUUGCAAGGGCCAAAGAAGGAGCAUCUCACCUGCCUGGAGUGAACCAGGGAAGGUAUUCCUGGGCAACAAGCAGAUGUGCUGGGCAUCAGAUGGAGAUUUGGGUAAACCUGCAAGAAAUAAGGAAGGAAAUGUUCCAGGCCAAGGCCAUGCAUCUCCCUCUGUGCAAAGUACAUUUGGAGAACUUGUGAUCUUCCGCAGAAUGUUUGUGAAAACCAAGCUGAAUUUUGCAACUGAUUAAAUGCACAUUUUCCAUGAAUUCUUAUAAGCUGACCUGGCCAAUUUCAAAUAUAAAGAAGUAUUUGAGAAGUUGGUGGUAGGGUUCAGGGCACGCUACCCCUAAAACAUGAGAAAACAGCAGAACAGGACAGUGACUGUCUCCUUCCCCCUUCCUUCUCCUCACUCCCCUGAAGCAGGUCAUAAAACCUAGCUGUCUUUCCCCAGAAGCAGGUCAUAAAACCUUCUUUCCAGAUGUGCCCUCCCUAUACCCUGAGGAAAGGAAUGUCCUUAUCUCUGAAGACACAGGGAGGCAGAGAAGAAUAUGAACAAAUGGGCCUCACUAAGUACUACCCCCUGCCCCCGGUUUAUUACCAUUAGAUCAUAUACCUUUCCCCUCUAGUUAUACUUAUGCAGGCCUGUUCACUCUUCAUCAAAGCAUAAAAAUGCACAGGCUUCCCUAUUUCUUGAGAUUUUCAUUUCUGAAGGGUCCCAUGUCAUUAAAAAUGUACAAUAAAUAAGUUUGUCAGCUUUUCUCUUUGAUCUCUUGUUGUAGGGGCCUCAGCCAUGAUCCUUGCAAAGAACGAAGACAAAAUAACACUUUUUCUUCCCUACAUUUCUUGGUGCCCAAUGUGGGUGGCUGAGCCAUCCCUCUUGCUCUGCCACCUACAGAUGAGAUCCUGGGACAAUUGACAAAAAGUUGGUGAAAUAAGAUUCUCACUAAGAAGAGCUUUCUAGGAUCUCUGUAGUUCUAGGUAGAAAGAAGAAGGUAAAAAGUUCUUCUUGUCUGCUCCUUUCCAAGUUCAGAUUAGCAGAGAAAAGUACUUCUUGGACUGGGACUCUGGCUGAAUUUAGUUUUAGGGUACCUAUUCAUUAUUGAUUUUUUUCCCUCUAUGAACAGCUAUCUUUUUCCUAGUCUUGUUUUGUGUGCUGAGAACUUGCCUUAACCUUCUACCAAUCAGGGCAUACAGCUUAUCAGUCUUGCAUGUCCAGGCAGACAACUUCAGGCUGGAGGGGGGGGGGUCCCAAGAAUAUGACCAGAGAGAAAUUAGAUUAUACCUCAUUUGUGGUUAAUGUGCUUGGUGCUGUCAGUUCUUGAGGGGCAUAUGUGUCUGUCUUGUGGCCAUCCUUGGGAGUGGAUCUGGAUCUUGGAAGGACUGCAUCUUUUUGUCUUUCUUUUGAGGACAUCUGUUUCAUCCAAGU